UGGUGGAUGCCUUGGCGAUCACAGGCGAUGAAGGACGUAGUAGCCUGCGAAAAGCUGCGGGGAGCUGGCAAACAAGCUUUGAUCCGCAGAUGUCCGAAUGGGGAAACCCACUCCGCAAGGAGUAUCCCUGACUGAAUACAUAGGUCAGUGGAAGCGAACCGGGUGAACUGAAACAUCUCAGUAGCUCGAGGAAAAGAAAUCAACCGAGAUUC
RNAcentral lists this non-coding RNA (212 nucleotides) under Knoellia aerolata DSM 18566. RNAcentral's name for it is "Bacterial large subunit ribosomal RNA". It matches the Rfam family "Bacterial large subunit ribosomal RNA", at positions 22 to 237 of the family's 2925-position model. Lineage: Bacteria; Bacillati; Actinomycetota; Actinomycetes; Micrococcales; Intrasporangiaceae. The record is from Rfam by way of RNAcentral.